ACCUGGCUGGCUCAGUUGGUAGAGCGUGAGAUCCUUGAUCUCAGGAUUAUGAGUUCAAGCCCCACACUGGGUA
This 73-nucleotide transfer RNA is filed under the name Canis lupus familiaris (dog). It matches the Rfam family "tRNA". From Rfam's summary of the family: Transfer RNA (tRNA) molecules are approximately 80 nucleotides in length. Their secondary structure includes four short double-helical elements and three loops (D, anti-codon, and T loops). The record is from Rfam by way of RNAcentral. Lineage: Eukaryota; Metazoa; Chordata; Mammalia; Carnivora; Canidae. RNAcentral also lists the same sequence under 2 other names.